AAGGCUUUAAGUUAAUUAAACUAAUAGCCUUCAAAGCUAUAUAUAUAAGUAUAAAUCUUUUAAGCCUUA
Molecule: transfer RNA, 69 nt
Filed under: Atylotus miser
Lineage: Eukaryota; Metazoa; Arthropoda; Insecta; Diptera; Tabanidae
Also listed under: 2 other names
Description: tRNA-Trp
Rfam family: tRNA
About the family: Transfer RNA (tRNA) molecules are approximately 80 nucleotides in length.
Source: RNAcentral